UACGUAGGGGGCAAGCGUUGUCCGGAAUCAUUGGGCGUAAAGCGCGUGUAGGCGGCCCGGUAAGUCCGCUGUGAAAGUCCAGGGCUCAACCCUGGAAUGCCGGUGGAUACUGUCGGGCUCGAGUCCGGAAGAGGCGAGUGGAAUUCCUGGUGUAGCGGUGAAAUGCGCAGAUAUCAGGAGGAACACCAAUGGCGAAGGCAGCUCUCUGGGACGGUACUGACACUGAGACGCGAAAGCGUGGGGAGCGAACGGG
RNAcentral lists this ribosomal RNA (253 nucleotides) under uncultured bacterium. Its description in RNAcentral is "partial 16S ribosomal RNA". It matches the Rfam family "Bacterial small subunit ribosomal RNA", at positions 524 to 776 of the family's 1533-position model. The record is from RNAcentral.